UCAAAAACAAAAAGCACACUUUACCAGCUCCUAACUAGACUGGGGCCUCUAAGGGUGCAUUUUUACUAUAGAUAUAUGUAUAUAUGUGGGCUGUGAUAUAUGUGGGCUGUGAAUGGUUUAAUUUGUGGAUAAGGAAUCUGUAGAUACAGAGGGCUGACUGUACAGAGUAACAGAGUCAUUGGCUUGAGAAAGACCUCAAAUAUUGCUUCCUCCAGCUCAUCGCUGAUGUAGGAAACCCUCAGCUACAGCAUUCCUGACAGAUGGCCAUCAAUCUCCGCUUCUAAACCUCCAGCGCAGGAGAGCCCACCACCUUCUGAGGCAGGCUGUUCAUCUGUCAAAUGGCUUUUACCCUCAAGAAGUUCUUCCGAAGCUUUAGCUGGAAUCUCCUUGCUGCUCAUUUCAACCUGCUGGGUUAGAUCCUUGGUUUCUUUAGAACAAGAGCAGCAACCACCAUAAAGGAUUUCACUGUCUCCAGCCCUUCAAAUACUUGAAAAUGGCUAUUACAUCCAACAAGAACCACUGUGGUCUGAUGGUUUGAGGAAUAACCUCAGAUUAUCAGGUUCAAAUUCCUAUUUAGCCAUGAAAGCCCUUGCACUUGUCACACUUUCCUGGCCAAAGAGGGAUGUAAUGUCAAACCUAUGAGAGCCUUGCAAUAGGUCAGUGCCAACAUGAAGUACAUACCAUACCGUGUUUCCCCGAAAAUAAGACAGUGUCUUAUAUUAAUUUUUGCUCCCAAAGAUGCGCUAGGUCUUAUUUUCAGGGGAAGUCUUAUUUUAGGGGAAACAGGGUAUAUACUCGAGUAUAAGCCGACCCGAAUAUAAACCGGGGCACCUAAUUUUAUCACAAAAAACUGGGAUAACUUAUUGACUUGAGUAUAAGCCGAGGGUGGGAAGACUUGGAUUGUAUUUUCCUGCAUGGUCAAAGAAGAUUGGACUGAUCGGCCCUUAUGGUCUUGUCAACUCUAUGAUUCAAUUUCUACUAAAAUAAAGGCCAUGGUGCUUGGUAUUCAUUGUUGGUUCUUAUCCAAGGAUUAACCAGAGUUGUCUCUGCUUAGAUUGCAAGAUCAGGUGACUUAUGGAUAUGUUGCUGCUGCUCAGUCGUUUAGUCAU
RNAcentral lists this long non-coding RNA (1109 nucleotides) under Anolis carolinensis (green anole). RNAcentral describes it as "lncRNA (ENSACAG00000038399.1)". The record is from RNAcentral. Lineage: Eukaryota; Metazoa; Chordata; Lepidosauria; Squamata; Anolidae.